Aphis gossypii (cotton aphid) is the source of this 402-nucleotide long non-coding RNA. RefSeq lists it as uncharacterized. The transcript is spliced from 3 exons. The record is from RefSeq and is a predicted model, not a curated record. Lineage: Eukaryota; Metazoa; Arthropoda; Insecta; Hemiptera; Aphididae.
UAAAAAUUAUAUGCUAUUUAAGAUGAAUUGUAUGUUUUUUAAUUGAACAAACAACAAUUGAUAAAAUAAAUAAUUAUUUUACUUAUGUCAUUCGAUAAUUGAAGUUGUGUUAUUAUAUUUCAUAAUCUCACAUAUUAGAAAUUUGCGACAUAUUACCAUAGUGGCGGGAACUCAUAGCAAUAUAUAUGGUAUCUAAAUUUCAGCUAUGGGUGGUCGACCUGAUAGAUUAAUUAGAUAAUCAUGCAAAUUAAUUAUCUGGUCCACCAUCAUGAUUACAAUAUUUAUGUUACGGGCAAUAUGGAAUACCAAACAAUGUGCGAGCAAUGUGAACUGCGAAUACAAACAAAUAAUUUAUAAUAUUGAUCAUUUAUUUCAUUAAAUCACAUAUUACAUAAUAUAUUU